UGGAUAUGUUGUUGCCCUUACAC
This 23-nucleotide non-coding RNA is filed under the name Rattus norvegicus (Norway rat). Lineage: Eukaryota; Metazoa; Chordata; Mammalia; Rodentia; Muridae. The record is from RNAcentral.